UUAAGCGACUAAGCGUACACGGUGGAUGCCCUGGCAGUCAGAGGCGAUGAAGGACGUGCUAAUCUGCGAUAAGCGUCGGUGAGGUGAUAUGAACCGUUAUAACCGGCGAUUUCCGAAUGGGGAAACCCAGUGUGUUUCGACACACUAUCAUUAACUGAAUCCAUAGGUUAAUGAGGCGAACCGGGGGAACUGAAACAUCUAAGUACCCCGAGGAAAAGAAAUCAACCGAGAUUCCCCCAGUAGCGGCGAGCGAACGGGGAGGAGCCCAGAGCCUGAAUCAGUGUGUGUGUUAGUGGAAGCGUCUGGAAAGGCGCGCGAUACAGGGUGACAGCCCCGUACACAAAAAUGCACAUGCUGUGAGCUCGAUGAGUAGGGCGGGACACGUGGUAUCCUGUCUGAAUAUGGGGGGACCAUCCUCCAAGGCUAAAUACUCCUGACUGACCGAUAGUGAACCAGUACCGUGAGGGAAAGGCGAAAAGAACCCCGGCGAGGGGAGUGAAAAAGAACCUGAAACCGUGUACGUACAAGCAGUGGGAGCCUCUUUUAUGGGGUGACUGCGUACCUUUUGUAUAAUGGGUCAGCGACUUAUAUUCUGUAGCAAGGUUAACCGAAUAGGGGAGCCGAAGGGAAACCGAGUCUUAACUGGGCGUUAAGUUGCAGGGUAUAGACCCGAAACCCGGUGAUCUAGCCAUGGGCAGGUUGAAGGUUGGGUAACACUAACUGGAGGACCGAACCGACUAAUGUUGAAAAAUUAGCGGAUGACUUGUGGCUGGGGGUGAAAGGCCAAUCAAACCGGGAGAUAGCUGGUUCUCCCCGAAAGCUAUUUAGGUAGCGCCUCGUGAAUUCAUCUCCGGGGGUAGAGCACUGUUUCGGCAAGGGGGUCAUCCCGACUUACCAACCCGAUGCAAACUGCGAAUACCGGAGAAUGUUAUCACGGGAGACACACGGCGGGUGCUAACGUCCGUCGUGAAGAGGGAAACAACCCAGACCGCCAGCUAAGGUCCCAAAGUCAUGGUUAAGUGGGAAACGAUGUGGGAAGGCCCAGACAGCCAGGAUGUUGGCUUAGAAGCAGCCAUCAUUUAAAGAAAGCGUAAUAGCUCACUGGUCGAGUCGGCCUGCGCGGAAGAUGUAACGGGGCUAAACCAUGCACCGAAGCUGCGGCAGCGACGCUUAUGCGUUGUUGGGUAGGGGAGCGUUCUGUAAGCCUGUGAAGGUGUGCUGUGAGGCAUGCUGGAGGUAUCAGAAGUGCGAAUGCUGACAUAAGUAACGAUAAAGCGGGUGAAAAGCCCGCUCGCCGGAAGACCAAGGGUUCCUGUCCAACGUUAAUCGGGGCAGGGUGAGUCGACCCCUAAGGCGAGGCCGAAAGGCGUAGUCGAUGGGAAACAGGUUAAUAUUCCUGUACUUGGUGUUACUGCGAAGGGGGGACGGAGAAGGCUAUGUUGGCCGGGCGACGGUUGUCCCGGUUUAAGCGUGUAGGCUGGUUUUCCAGGCAAAUCCGGAAAAUCAAGGCUGAGGCGUGAUGACGAGGCACUACGGUGCUGAAGCAACAAAUGCCCUGCUUCCAGGAAAAGCCUCUAAGCAUCAGGUAACAUCAAAUCGUACCCCAAACCGACACAGGUGGUCAGGUAGAGAAUACCAAGGCGCUUGAGAGAACUCGGGUGAAGGAACUAGGCAAAAUGGUGCCGUAACUUCGGGAGAAGGCACGCUGAUAUGUAGGUGAAGCGACUUGCUCGUGGAGCUGAAAUCAGUCGAAGAUACCAGCUGGCUGCAACUGUUUAUUAAAAACACAGCACUGUGCAAACACGAAAGUGGACGUAUACGGUGUGACGCCUGCCCGGUGCCGGAAGGUUAAUUGAUGGGGUUAGCGGCAACGCGAAGCUCUUGAUCGAAGCCCCGGUAAACGGCGGCCGUAACUAUAACGGUCCUAAGGUAGCGAAAUUCCUUGUCGGGUAAGUUCCGACCUGCACGAAUGGCGUAAUGAUGGCCAGGCUGUCUCCACCCGAGACUCAGUGAAAUUGAACUCGCUGUGAAGAUGCAGUGUACCCGCGGCAAGACGGAAAGACCCCGUGAACCUUUACUAUAGCUUGACACUGAACAUUGAGCCUUGAUGUGUAGGAUAGGUGGGAGGCUUUGAAGUGUGGACGCCAGUCUGCAUGGAGCCGACCUUGAAAUACCACCCUUUAAUGUUUGAUGUUCUAACGUUGGCCCGUAAUCCGGGUUGCGGACAGUGUCUGGUGGGUAGUUUGACUGGGGCGGUCUCCUCCUAAAGAGUAACGGAGGAGCACGAAGGUUGGCUAAUCCUGGUCGGACAUCAGGAGGUUAGUGCAAUGGCAUAAGCCAGCUUGACUGCGAGCGUGACGGCGCGAGCAGGUGCGAAAGCAGGUCAUAGUGAUCCGGUGGUUCUGAAUGGAAGGGCCAUCGCUCAACGGAUAAAAGGUACUCCGGGGAUAACAGGCUGAUACCGCCCAAGAGUUCAUAUCGACGGCGGUGUUUGGCACCUCGAUGUCGGCUCAUCACAUCCUGGGGCUGAAGUAGGUCCCAAGGGUAUGGCUGUUCGCCAUUUAAAGUGGUACGCGAGCUGGGUUUAGAACGUCGUGAGACAGUUCGGUCCCUAUCUGCCGUGGGCG
Molecule: ribosomal RNA, 2627 nt
Filed under: human gut metagenome
Description: bacterial LSU rRNA
Rfam family: Bacterial large subunit ribosomal RNA
Source: RNAcentral